CACAAAGCAGGUCUUAACUUGGGGUGGGGGUGAGGGUGUGGGAGAAAGGGGAGGGGGAAGAGAGGGGGAGGGAAAAUCACCCACUUGCAAGGUGGUGAAGCAGCUGAGAUUACAGGAAUAAAAACACCAGAGGCAUUUGCCCAGAUACCAGUAUUCAGGAUGCUUCUUAAGCAAAUGGAUAAAUCCUCCCCAAUUUACCUCUCAACCCUCCCGGAAGACAACUUGGGCAUUCAAAUCAUCCAGCCCUCCUGAGAGUAGGAGUGAGUCUGCAGCAAAUAACAAAGGAGGCCUGCGGUUUGCUGCUCGGAGGGCUCCCCUCCUCCUCCCUUUAAUGAUUGGCCGGCUGGCUGGCUGCAAACCAGCCUUCAUUUGCCAGGAGGAAAAAAGGGGAAAAGGUCAAAGUGUGAGAAGCAGAUCGAUUCCUCGCCUCAAGCUAAUUCUUUUAACCAGAUGCACAGCUGUGACUCGGCCUUACCUUCUACCUGUUUUUGCAUCUACACCUGACUGCACAGCACAGCUGGAAAAUUUACACAACAGGGUCCAGGACCAGUAUGAGCACCUGUGAUGUCUAUGUGGAUGGAGAGUGCCUGGAAUUGGCAGGACCGGACGGGGCAGAUUUAGCAACACAACAACUUUAAUAAUUUAGAUGAUGUGCUGUUGUGAGGCGCACGCGGCAGUGAAGGUCGGCAGGCACGACUGCAAAUACUAGCACCUUGCUGAUCGCUACCGCCACAGACAUCGGGGCCUUGAAUACCGCUGGCGUUUGCUGCGGGCGUUCACAACGGAAGGCACUGCGACUUUACAGCGUGAGGAAAAAAUGGAAACGAGAGGGUCAGGAACUCCCAGGAGGGGGAAGAGACCAUAGAACAUUCUUCACUACAGUGGAAGGGCUGGACAAAUGGCACAACACUUGCCAACCAUCUGACCUUUAAGAGUCCUGUUUCUUGCCCUAUGGGUUCAUGAAAGCUUAACGGCCAUGGUGAUGCAUUCAUGGGUAGAAGACACUAGCAGAAAUGCAUUAGUGUUUAGGUAAGCCAUGCAAACUCCACUGGCACCGACAAAUAGCUCUGGGUAUAAGAUGCAUUUUGUUCCAAAGGAUAUUACAACUCUUCAACAGUCAGACGAUUUCACAAUUGGCCAAAUAUUUCUGUGUGUGUGUGUGUGUGUGUGUGUGUGUGUGUUAUUUUUCCCUUGUUAUGUUUCUAAAGCUCUGGUCGCAUUCACAAUUUUCCAGGAAAUUGGUGUCAGGUAACAAACCCACCAGGAACAGCUACCUCUAGAGAGCAGAGCGUUUUAUCUGGCACUCCGAGUUUGCUGGUUGGUUUGCUGCAUACAUGUUUAUUUUCAGUUCAAAGACAAAAUAGAAAACUCCAUAGUGGGACAUGUUACCUCUCAGUUCACACUCUUCCAAUCUCUCAGUUCCCAUAAAAUAAACAUUCUAAAGUGUAAGCGGUGGGAAAUAAUGUAAACUCUGCAGAAACAGAAAAUAAAUUAGUUUCUUU
Molecule: long non-coding RNA, 1502 nt
Organism: Sus scrofa (pig)
Lineage: Eukaryota; Metazoa; Chordata; Mammalia; Artiodactyla; Suidae
Source: RefSeq, a predicted model, not a curated record